RNAcentral lists this ribosomal RNA (492 nucleotides) under uncultured bacterium. RNAcentral's name for it is "partial 16S ribosomal RNA". It matches the Rfam family "Bacterial small subunit ribosomal RNA", at positions 29 to 507 of the family's 1533-position model. The record is from RNAcentral.
AGUGAACGCUGGCGGUAGGCCUAACACAUGCAAGUCGAACGGCAGCACAGUAAGAGCUUGCUCUUACGGGUGGCGAGUGGCGGACGGGUGAGGAAUACAUCGGAAUCUACUUUUUCGUGGGGGAUAACGUAGGGAAACUUACGCUAAUACCGCAUACGACCUACGGGUUAAAGCAGGGGAUCUUCGGACCUUGCGCGAUUGAAUUAGCCGAUGUCGGAUUAGCUAGUUGGCUGGGUAAAGGCCCACCAAGGCGACGAUCCGUAGCUGGUCUGAGAGGAUGAUCAGCCACACUGGAACUGAGACACGGUCCAGACUCCUACGGGAGGCAGCAGUGGGGAAUAUUGGACAAUGGGCGAAAGCCUGAUCCAGCAAUACCGCGUGAGUGAAGAAGGCCUUCGGGUUGUAAAGCCCUUUUAUUGGGAAAGAAAAGCAGCAGAUUAAUACCCCGAUGUUCUGACGGUACCCAAAGAAUAAGCACCGGCUAACUUCGUG